This 194-nucleotide unclassified non-coding RNA is filed under the name uncultured Helotiales. Its description in RNAcentral is "sequence contains ITS1". The record is from RNAcentral. Lineage: Eukaryota; Fungi; Ascomycota; Leotiomycetes; Helotiales.
AAAAUGUAACCGGACCGGGACGUCGCGGGCGAGAGCCCCUGGCGGACCGCGAAGGGAGAUAUCAUACACCCUGUGUUUAUUUACCUUUGUUGCUUUGGCGGGCCGUCCGUAAGGCGUCGGCCCCGGCUGACCGCGCCCGCCAGAGGACCCAAACUCGUUUUGUUUAGUGUCGUCUGAGUACUAUAUAAUAGUUA